This is a long non-coding RNA of Triticum aestivum (bread wheat), 2256 nucleotides long. RefSeq lists it as uncharacterized. NCBI's taxonomy places the organism in Eukaryota, Viridiplantae, Streptophyta, Magnoliopsida, Poales, Poaceae. The record is from RefSeq and is a predicted model, not a curated record. The transcript has 4 exons.
UUUGCAAAGAAGAAAAAACAGACACGACCACACACACGGGCUCGCCUCCUCUCCCUCUCGCCCACGAAGUCCUCGCCGCCGCCACCACCCAUGCCGGCCACUUCCGGCGAGCUCCGGCGACGCACAGCACGCUCCCGAGCUCCCCACGGUCCGCGCCUCCCUCCCCUCUGGACAGAUUCUCCGCUUCCGGCCUCUACCGCCCGCUCGCAACCCCACCCCCGUGGCUAGGGUUUCGGCCAAGGCUUCGCCGGCGCAUCUCCGGCGGCCCCAGAUGCAGAUGUAGCACCCCAUGGGAGUUCCCCAUCCACCACGGUGGCAGAUUCUUCAUGGAGAUGUGAUGCAAAAGAAGCACAAUGUUCAGUGAUGAUUAGGGUGAUGAUGUUUAUGCAUCUAGGGAACCAUGGAGAUUUUAACAUGUGAUAUUUCCUCAAGCAAACUAAGUUCUUUUGCAAUUUGCUGCUCAAGUUGUGGCUCUCCUGCAGGGCAAAUCUUCCCAACAAGAAGCAUAACAGAGGCCUCUCUUUCAAUGUCUGAAGAUUGGUUAUCUAAUAACUGGCCAUCAGAGGGAGAAAUUCAGCUCCAUAACCUCCAUGUAAAUACCAUCAUCUAUUUUCCCUCUUGCCCACUUCUGUUACGUAUUUACAUUUUUGUGUUGGCAUGUUCUAAAGAAGCUGCACCUUUUUUCCCCUUGUGAGUAAAUUGCCAGAAAUCUAAACUCAUGGGCAAAUGAACUGUUUGAUUCAGUGAUUUGCCAGAUCAACAACAGAAUAUUACUAAGUAGCUCAUGUCAUUAACUUUUUAAUAAUGAUGCACGUGAGAUAUACUCCAAGGUAUGCAGACAGGUAUUUUUGGUAGAAUAUGUAGUGGUAAAUCAACUCUCAUGCAUGCCCUUUUCUGUAUCAUGUGUCCUACUAUCGGUUAGAUAAUAGUAGACAUUGUCGACAUUGGCACCAUUGGGUUGUACGAUCUGAUUUCUAGAUUGGCCAUCAUCAAUGUUCGAUUGAACUGUGAGAAACAACCUUGACCCUCUAGGAGAGUACACUGACAAUCAAAUCUAGGAGGUAGUCUUGAUAUUCACAUGCUCAUUGCUUGUCAUUUCUCAAAUUACUAAACAAUCACUUAAAAAAUCUGUUUGUCUUGGCUCGAAGUAUGAAUCUGUUGCUCGUAAUUGUUUUUUAGUUCGAUAUGUCUUCACAUUCGUACAAUUCUAUGAACCUACGUGUUCCCAUUGAUACUUUGUAAAUCUUGUACUGGCUACUACGGCUUUGUGCAUUUCUCAAAUACAGAGGCCCUCCAAUCUUCUUAACUUAUCUAAUAAUGACUGAAAAUUGUUAUUCUACAUUUCAAGCAUCGGGUCACUAUCAGUUAGGAGUUGAAGUUCGGAGAAAGGGGCUAAAACAUGAUUCUCCAGCUCUGCUUUACUCGUACCAUAGAGUUCAUAUUCUGGUAGUUUUGGUGCUUCUGAAAUUGCUGAUAAAUUCCAAAUUGCCCUUGAAGUGGUAGAGAGUGGAGAGAACUGGUGUGUGGGCCAGUGUCAGCCCGUCUGUCUCAGUUGGGUGAUUCUGAGACGGACCAAGAUACUGGUUCUGCCACUGCUUCGGUGGACUUGCAACCUCUUGCAACAGAUAACCUGAUACCGGACACACCACAACAGCAUUACUCAGGGGUGAUUGGCAUGACGAUCGUGCAUCGAAUCACCUUGGUCCUUCAGAGCGAAAUACUCUAGCUUCCUGACUAUGGUGGUACAGUCUGGGGAACGAUUUUCUGUACAAGAGGAGAUCAAAAAAAGGCAUUGCUUAUUGUACAUUAGAUUCUACAGGCAGGGGACCUUCAGCUUUGUAGUACUCCUGCUGUUUCAUGAAGCUUCAGAUUAUAUUACUACAUUUUCCCUUGAUUGUAAGAAAAUCAAGCAUACACUAAUAAAAUUAAGCAUAUAAUACAUAGUAAUUUAAUCUGAAGCUUCAUCAAACACUGGCAACAAUACGUAGUCUCUCCAAGGCCUAUAUAGGUAUGUUUAUCUUGCUGUUUCAGGUUAGAAUAAUGAUUUUAAGCCAUGUAGAUAACCUUCAACUAGCAAUGCCAAUCAUAUAACCCUUGAGCAUGUGACAGAGUUUUCACCCUCACCAUGUCCAGUGACGUUGCUAGCAGGAGUAAGAUGUUUGGGUUGGCGGAGUCGGCGGCCGGUAGUAAAGCAAGGGUGUUGUGUUACAAAUUUUUCAUCAAGAAAUUCGCAUAGGAAUAUAUUUUUUCCUUCAA